This 433-nucleotide ribosomal RNA is filed under the name uncultured bacterium. RNAcentral's name for it is "partial 16S ribosomal RNA". It matches the Rfam family "Bacterial small subunit ribosomal RNA", at positions 29 to 507 of the family's 1533-position model. The record is from RNAcentral.
AACGAACGCUGGCGGCAUGCCUAACACAUGCAAGUCGAACGAGACCUUCGGGUCUAGUGGCGCACGGGUGCGUACCGCGUGGGAACCUGCCCUUAGGUUCGGAAUAACUCCCCGAAAGGGGUGCUAAUACCGGUUAAUGUCUUCGGACCAAAGAUUUAUCGCCUUUGGAUGGGCCCGCGUUGGAUUAGCUAGUUGGUAGGGUACAAGCCUGCCAAGGCGACGUUCCAUAGCUGGUCUGAGAGGAUGAUCAGCCACACUGGGACUGAGACACGGCCCAGACUCCUACGGGAGGCAGCAGUGGGGAAUAUUGGACAAUGGGCGAAAGCCUGAUCCAGCAAUGCCGCGUGAGUGAUGAAGGCCUUAGGGUUGUAAAGCUCUUUUACCCGGGAUGAUAAUGACAGUACCGGGAGAAUAAGCACCGGCUAACUCCGUG